This is a non-coding RNA of Caerostris darwini, 114 nucleotides long. The record is from the annotation of a GenBank genome assembly. Lineage: Eukaryota; Metazoa; Arthropoda; Arachnida; Araneae; Araneidae.
AACGGCCGUAUCAUGCUGAAUAUACCGGUUCUCAUCGUUAGAUCACAGAGGUCAAGCAUCAUUGGGCGCGGUCAGAACUUGGGUGGGUGACCACCUGGGAACACCGCGUGCCGU